GAUAAGAAACAACUUACCACAACCAUUAAUUAUCCAUAAUUUCAUUGUUUAUCCUCAGUUUUCUUCAUAAAUGUUACAGCGUUCUUCACAACAAAGUGCAAGGGCAUCUCAAAAGUUCUGAAAUAAUACCUCAAUUCUAUUGCAAAAAUAAAUAAUCUCAAACAAGAACCAAUAAUCAUAUUUCGUUACUGUCAAACACAAUGCAUCUGAGCAAAACAUUGGAAGCCAACACCAGAAUACAUAUGAAUAAACAAUUAAAGAUAGAGAAAAAAGGCUUAAACCUUGGGGGAAAAAAGUGAAAAAACAUGAAAGACAAAUUACACAUGUGCAGUAACCAUCGAACUUAUCAGUGACAGCUGCAUCCAUUACAUUGCUCCAACAACACAAUGGCAAACCACCAGUUUCAAAUUGAGGAUAGCUAUUGAGAAUGAGAAAGUGUCCAAAACGCCAUAAAUAGACAUGUUCCUAUUAUGCAUAAUUUACAUUAUAGGCAAAUAUUCUUAUACCAUCAAAAGCAAAACAUGACACUAUAACAAUUGACUCCCCCCCCCCCCCCCCCCCCCCCGCACACAAAAAAAAAGGAAGAAACAAUACCGAAAAGAUUGAAACAGGUAAGGCUACACUGAGCACAGGAUGCCAUGAAACAUAAUCCAGGAACCAAAUUAAUAAAGAAGGAAGGCAAACCAUUAUUUAACAAUCUGUUUUGUAUUAGGGAAAGUCCGAUAAAAUCUACUUAGGGAUAAUUAGAGAACCUCAACUAUUAAUCACACCUCAUAAAUGAACUAACAUUAACCAUGUACCAUCCCCACAUCAGACAAACAUUCUCUAUACUUCUGAACCUAAUACUUCCAUCUUCAAUUGGGGUUUUUUUCUUUUGUGGGGGGGGGGAUAAGCUAUCGUUUUUCUAAGCUUGCUUACCUUCUGUGUGGGACUGAAAUACUGAUUUCGAAUCAUUAACAGUAAAAUUGGAAGCUCAUGAAAAAACAAUUUUAUCUUUUAACAAAAGUUAAAAUUACAUCUCCAUAUAAAUUCUCUUUUCAUUUCCUUCAAUUUUCUAAUUAAGCUUAAAAAAAUGUACCUUCAACCACAAAGGGGUUUAAAAUUUAAAAUAUAUAAAAAAAUAAAUUCAGAUAACAAUAAUUAAUUUAAUUAAAAAUAUAAAUAGAGAUUACAGAGAAAGAAAAAAUAGAGAAAGACCUGAUGUUGAGAGCAUCGACGGCCGGCAGUGACCGGCGGAAGAUGGCGAGAGAUGGCGGCGUGGGCCAUUGCUUGCGCAUCAGUGAGUGUCUCGAGUGAGAGAGUGAAGGUAGGGAUGGCAAUGGGGAGGGAGGGAGGGUCCAAUCUCUCUGUACCCAUCUCCCAAUUUGUCCCCGUCCCUCCCCGUCCCCAUUUGCUUAGAAUCUGUCCCCUACUCGAAUAAUAAUUCUCGAAUAAUAACAUAAAAUGCUCGAGGUUCUCGAUUUAUGAAUAAUUAAUAUAUUUUUUAUUUUAAAUUUUAAAUUAACUAUAUUAAAAUAAAAAAUUUAAAUAAAAAUAAAAUUUGAAAUAUAUUUUAUAUUAAUAUUGAUCCAUUAUAAAAAUUACAUACAAAAUAUAAAUUAUCAAAAUAAUUAUCUUUAUCAAUCUUCAUAAUCCUACAAUAAAAAGAAAAAAAAUUUACUUUUAUAUUGAUAAUAAAAUAAAUGUAGAUAAUUAAUUAAUAUUUUUAAUAAAAUAAAAUUAAAAUAAAAUAAAAUUUUUAGGCUAAUAUAAUCUACCCGACUUUUUUAAUGUGUUAAAUAAAAAUUUAAGACUUUAAUUAGUUAAUUAGGCCUAAAAGCUUAAUAAUAUAAAUAUUUUGAUAUUUAUUAUUUUUACUAAUAUUUAUAAUUUUAUAAUAUAUUCAAUUUUUAUUAUUUAUUUACUAGUAAUUUUAAAAAAUAAAAAUAAAAUUAAAAAAUAAAAUGGGGGAAAUGGGGAGGGGAUGGGGAUUCCACCUCAUCCCCGUCCCUUCCUUGUAGGGAUGGCAAAAGUUCGGGUCGGGUCGGGUCUGGGGCUGCCUGGAACUGACCCGGAUUUCACACAUAGCUGCCCGGACCCGGACCGUGCCCGGAUUUUUUCUAUGCGGGCCGGGUAUAUGGCUGGCACUAUCCGGGCACAGGUUUUUUUUGGGUUUUCUCUACCCACAUUUUCAAAACUGGCUAAAAAAAAAUUGAUAGAAAAGGCUAAAUAAGUAAACAAAAUUGCAAUUGGGCCUGGAAAUUCAUAACUUAUCCCUGAAUUAUAUAUAUAUAUAUAUAACUUCUAAUUCUUUGUUGAUACAAGUUUUUUCUAAUUCAUUAUAAAAUCACAUUAUAUAUAUUAUUUCCUCAUCAGAUAAUAAGUGACAAUUGCUCACCAGUUUAUUAACAUCUCUACGAAACCGUCUUUUAUGGCAUUAUUAUUAUUAUUGUUGUGGCUGAAACCAUGUAGUAUGUGAUUGAAGAAAUUGCAUUAAAUGUUGGAGUGGAGGUGAUGUAGGUGAGAAAGGAUUCCCUGGAGACUGUUAAACAAGACACAAGGCAUUUCCGGAAGAAAACAGAAGACAACUGGAUAAGACAAAACGGACAAAAGGGUAAGAGAGGUGGGUGGGAAAUUAAGAUAGGCAAUUUGUCCAGCAGAAACAUAAUAAUACCUCGUGGUCGUGGGUCGUGGCUGUGUUGGUGAAGUUGCAGCUGAACAAGAACAGUUGAUGCUGUCGCGUGGUGGCUGCCGUUGAGAAGAUGACCAAACGAUGAAGAGCUCUGUGACGGGAUGGUUGUGCUUUGCGAGGAGAAAUAGAGUUGACUGAGGAAGGUAAGAGGUUCGUGGAGGGAAAGGUGCGGACAACACUGCAUCAGUGCCGGUGGGUGGUGGAGAGACGGAGAGAGGUGCCGCCGAUUUGGAGAUUUCAGGGUGGGUGCUGACUGCUGCAGUGCUGCGUUGUUCUGCAAGUUGCAAUCGCGAUUUAGGGUUCAGUACCAGUUUUGGGGGCAAUUGGGCAAAGUAAAUUUUAUUUUCGCUUUUAUAUUUUCUUUUUUUUUACUUAAUAAAAAACCGGGCAUUGAAAAUCAAUGUCCGGAUCCGCUUUUUCCAUUCAUGUGGUCCGGGUAAAACCCGAACCGCACACGCCGGGUCUGGGCCGGAUCCGGUCCGGGUGGGUUUUUCUGCCACCUCUACUUCCUCGAAUAAGAAAUUUGGUAAAAAAAAUUUCCCGUCCCUUCCUCGAAUAAAAAAUCGGGUAUAAAAUUAUCUCUGUAUCCUCCCCGAAUGAGAAAAAUCCCCGAAGAUACCCAUACCUGUGGGGAUUUUUACCAUCCUUGAGUGAAGGGUUUUGUUUAGGGUUUUGGGAAAUGAAAAAUGUAAAUGUUUGAUUUUGUUGCUAGAAACUUCUUCUGCCGCUGCUUUUUAUUUUCGCUAUAAAAAUAAUAAUUUGUUAAUCAAAUAUUUUCUUAAAAAAGAUAAAUUUCUAGAACAAAAUUUAUAUUAAAUCAAAUUGUAAAAAUGUGGAAUAGGGCUAAUUUCUCCUUAAUAUUAUUAUUAGUAGAAGUAGAUUGUCGAACUAGUCUUGAUAUAUUUUAGAGUUGUAUUAUAGAUGUAUACGUAUCUAGAUUGUAAUUAUAUUUUAAAAAAUAUAAUUUUUUUUAAUUAUUGCACAAUAAAUGUAGAAAAUAUCUAUAAAAUAAUAUUAUUAGAACUAUGAUACAGCACCUCAAUUCCACAGUAGCUUAAUAUUAUUAGAACUAUGAUACAGCACCUCAAUUCCAAACGCACUCUAAUUAAAAAAUUUAGAAUUCUUGGGCAUGGAAAGAGUAGUAUUAAACAUCAGAAAGCUAAGGUUGUUCUGUAAAAGAACUGAUAUUGACAUUAUUUUAUUUUGGUUUUCGGGGAAAAAAAUAUUUGUUGACAAGCAAGAAAAUAUUUUUAUAUUUUACAAUUUAUUAUACAUAUUUUAUCAUAUUAAAGUAAUUUUAAUAAUAAAUAGAAACAUAAUAUUACAAUAAAUAAAUUAAAGUUUAAAUUAUUUUGAAUAUUAUAAAAAAUAAUUUUAAUAUUAUUAAUAGGAAGACUUUUGUUAAUUGUAAAAUCUUUUUAAUCCAAAGAUUUGUUUAAAAUUCUUAUAAUAAAUACAAAUAUAAAAUUAAAUAUCAAAAUUUAAAUUUUUUAAUAUUAUUUAAAUUUUAAAAAUACUUUAAUGUUAUUAGUCUUCUACAUAAAUUAUAUUAUUUAUAUUAUAUUUGUAUUGAUUAAAAUCUUUUAAAGUCGAUCUUCUAGUUAUUAUAUGCAAAAGGUAUUAUCAUGUUACAAUUUUUUGAAAUUUUAGGGAUGUAGGUUACGAUGAUUUAUUUCACUUUUGACAAAAUCCAAUGAGAAAUAUGAUAAGAGAAAGUCAAUUUAAUGUUCUCGACCUUUAUGAAAAAAAGUAAAAACUAAGAAUUAUUCAAUUUUAUAUUUUUUGCAUCCACCAAAUAAGUUUUGCACAUUUAUGUUAUCAUAAAACGAAAAAAAGGGUUUACCAAAAAAUGGUACCAAGCAUACCUUUAAUGUCCCACGUGAUUUCUUAUUAAGCCCAAUAUUAGAUAUAUUUAUACAUUUUACUGCAUUAAGUAUUUUAAUUAUAAAAGAAGUUGGUCCUUCCUCUAGUUACAAAAGAUAACUUUAUUUCAAGACUACCACUAAAUUCUUACGUAGAAUUAGUGCAAGGCCAAGAGAGAGUAACACAAUUUUACUUUUCCAUUACCAUUUUGAAAAUAGAAAGAUAUGGAUCCGUGUAUUUAAGAGUUAUUGUAAAAAUCAUACAAUUCAAUUUCCUGACGUGUAUUAUGUAUAUUUAGGCACAUUUGCCAAAAGCAUAAAUAGAUAGAAAGUAAAUUUACAAUCCACCCUUACUCACAAUUAUUGAAGUGAAGAUGCAUUACAACUGUCACUACUUUAACUUUAUUUAUUUAUUUGUUUUAAAUAAAAGUGUGAGAGAGACGGUGAACAUCAUGGACGAUAACAAAGGUUAAAGCCUAAAGGUGACCCAUUUUCUUUUUAAAGUGCUCUGCUGAAAGCCUAACUUCCUUUGGAUCCGCCGAAGUGGCCGAAGUGGUGGGCUGCUGCCCUCACAAGCAUUGUGAGGGCAGCGGUUCUAGCCCCCACAAAAGCAUUGUGGGGGUUAAAUGUUCUUUAUAUUUAAAAAUUUUUCUCCCUUGCGAAAUACAAGUGGAGUAUGGACAUCCCUCUCCUGUGAGGGGUUAUUUGUUUGGGCAUGUACUUCAUAGAAUUUAAUGUAAUAAUGUAAGUCCCAAUAAUGUAUAUCUGAUUGUAAAUAUCAGUAUAAUAUCUCUGCUACAAUAGCAAUUAUUGUAAAUAUUUGUGUAAUACAGUAAUCUGAUGAUUAAUCAGUAUUCAAAAAAAAAAAAACUUCAUUUGGAUCCGCCUAAGUUACUGCUUUGUAAAAUUUUAUAAAGCCCCUUAUACUCUAUAUUAUUUAUAAUUUGUUCAUAAAUAUUAUAAAACUUUCUGCAUUAUAUAAUUUUAUUGAGCCCCUUGUACUAUAUUUUAUUUCAUUGAAACCCUUAAAGUACCAAUUCGCCCUCUAUAAUUUUAAAUUACUAAAAUACCCUCCAUUUAAUUAAAAAUAUAAUGAUUAUUAAAUGAUUAUAAUUAUCUGGAGUACAAAUUCAGUAAUAAACAAUAACUAAAGUAUUAACAAUUUAUUCAUCAAAUAAAAUACUCGAGAUUUCAGCCGACAAAUCCUCUUGUCUAAACUAAAAAACUCAUAUCCCUAAAAUCUAUUUGUGAAAUGUUAGAGAUGAGUGGUGAUUUGUCAACUGGGUAAAUAAAUUUAUGCAUAAUGUUUCCGGUAUUGAUAAAUUACAUAAUAAUUAUUACAAAGAAAUCAUAAAUUGGAAACAUUAAUCAUUUUACAAUAUGUUACAUAAGUAAGAUAAAUCUCAUAGUAAGUUAAGUUAUAACGUAAUAAAUAUUUUCAACAUAUACUUAUUUAAGAAGUCAUUUAACAAUAAUAUUUUUUAUAUUUCAGUUGAUCAUGUCAUAUAGCGUUAUCUAAACUCUUGGCCAUAUUAUUAUUACUCAAUUUUCUCCCAAAAAAAAAAAAAAAAAAACAAAAACAAACAUGAUUAAUGAUUAGAGAAAAGUCAUGCCUUUUAGAAAGAAUACGUAUACAAGCUAUCCAUACUUUAUCUUACCAUGAUGGUGAUUAAAUAUAUUUUUAAAAUAGAUUUAAUGCACAAAUAUGAUGACUUUUGGCAAAAAUUAGUUUCGGAAGAUAUAGUGGUAGAAAAUAGUGAUGAUUAUUGUUUAAAUGUGUAAAUAGUCUAAGCAUAGCCCGUAAUACCAAUAUUCAUUUGCACCUUCAUUUGGAUUAUCAUAUUUUAUGAUGUUCUUUCAUUCAUAACCAUUGUUCAAAAUUUGGAUUUGAUCAUAAAACAAAACUAAAAAAUAUUAGAGAUACUAACAAUUGAGUCCCAUUUUAAGUCCCAAUACAAUGUGUUAUUUCUCAAUGUUGUGUCAUUCAUUAAUUAAGUGAUGAAUUUCAGAAUUAAUAAUUAGUUCAGACUUUAAUUAAGAUUUAAAUGUUAGAAUAUCUAGCAUCAUUCAAUCACAAUAAACAAAAUUCAAAUUGAAACGGCAAUAUUGUAUUUUCUUUAAUUAAUUUUGAUGCUGAAGCAAAUAUUUUGCUUGGGUUUUUCACUUCUUGAUUUUGAUUGGAAAAGUUUCUGAGACGAAGUAUUUUGGAUAAUUUUUUCGGGAUUGAAACCACAACUUGGUAGAGGAAAUUAGUUGGAGUAGUGAUGGCUUUGUCUUCAUUUUUGGUUCCUUUUGUGUCGGCAGCCCCUUACUAUUCUCUUGACCCUGAGUUUGAGAUAGAAAUUUAUCAACCUCCAACCCCACAUCCACAAACAAGUUGAUUGAAACAAUUGCUCUUUUAAUUAAGAGGACCCAAAUGAUUUAGGUUUCAGUUCUUAUCAUUUGUCUAUUAUUUAUUUGAAACAUUUAUUUUGAGCGUUACUGAUCUUAAUUAUCUGUAUUUCUCCAAUUAUUGAAGCAUUUCAAGUGGCCACUUUUUCUCCUUUUUAUAUAUGUUUAUUUUUUGGAGUGAUCAAACGGGGGCAAAAUCAAGUAUUCGCUGGUCUGUAGUUUAGCCAACGAUGGCUGAUCCACACAGUUGAUUAUAUGAUACUAUUAGCUCUCAAAAUCUUUCUUAUUUGAGAAUACAAGUUGCCCAAUAGAGUUGAACUAUGUUACCCAACUCCAUGCUCAUACAUUAAAUGUUUAGGUAGUUUUACAAAAUGAUAGCAGCAUGCCAAAACUUGUUGUUGUCAUUUUCGACAUUUCAAAUUGAAAAAUAUGCAAGCAAUCUUCAGUGAACAUUACGUUUUUAUUGAAUAAUUUAAAUGGCCAGUAAAUCAACAGUCCGUGAGUUUUAAAUCUAUUAUGACUUAAUGUAUCUUUCUGUAUUCGUACACAGGUUAUAUUAUCAUAGUUUAAAAUUUUAAUAUUAUUUUAAAUGUUAAAAAUACUUUAAUGCUAUUAGUCUACUACACAUGUUAUAUUAUUUAUAUUAUAUUUGUAUUAAUUAAAACUUUUAAUGUAAAUUUUCUAAUUACUAUAUUGAAAAGGUAUUAUGGUUAAGAAAAAGUUUUGGCAUUUCUUCUUGAAAAUUUGAGGGUCUGCAUGACAAUUUUUCCAAAUUCUAAGGGUAUAGGUUUGAAAAUUUAAUGUUCUUUAACUUAAUGAAACAAAAGGGGGAAACCAAGAACUAUUCAAUUUUGUAUUUUUUGUUUGUAAUUCAAAAAAUGCAUCCACCAAACCAGUUUUACGCAUUAAUGCUGUCAUAAAACAAAAAACAGUUUGCCAAAAAAUGGUACCAAACAUAUCCUUAAUGUCUCACAUGAUUUCUUAGUAAGCCCAUAUUAGAUAUAUUUAUACAUUUUAGGUAUUUUAGUUAUAAAAGAAGUUGGUCCUCCCCCUAUUUAUAAAAGAUAACUUUGUUUCGAUAUUACCACUAAACUCUUACAUAGAAUUAGUGUAAUGUUAAGAGAGAGUAAAACGGUUUUCCAUUACCAUCUUUGAAAAUAGAAAGAUAUGGAUGCGUGCAUUUAAGAGUCAUCGUGAAAAUCAUACAAUUCAAUUUCCUGACAAGAAGUUGGUCCUCCCCCCCUUUUUUUUUUUUUUUCAAUUACAGUGUGAUGGAGACAUUAAGGAUGAGCAUAAUAGUUAAAGAUGACUCAUUUCUCAUUUUCUUUUUAAAGUGCUCUGCUGAAAGCCAAACUUCCUUUGGCUAAUUAAUUUAGAAGUAAAGCAGAGAAUAAAGUCCUAGAUGCCUUCUGAAAUUAGAAAUACAUUUUAUAUGCUUUAAUUAUGAUUAUUUGGUAGACUAAAGACCUAAAAGAUAUGUCAAAAGUAUAAAACAGAGCGAUUAAAGAAAAAAGAAAAAAAAAACAGAGCAUUUGUGACGUAGAACAAUUGGUAAAUAAAUCCUAAAUAUUUGAGUUGUUAAAAGCAAAUAUAACAGAGACAGUAAGAGAGAUGCUGAAACAGAAAACUAUUAGCUUAUCUUGAUUUUCCCACUAUAUUCAUUUUCGAUGCUUUUCAAACGAGAUUCUUUUAAUUCUUCUGGUGUCUCUUAUAGAUCUCCAUCCCACAUCUGCACUACGAACAAGUUGAUUAAAAUUAAAUACUGUUGGAGAUGUGGGGUGAGCGGUCAACUUGGUAAAAAAACUAUGUGUAAUAUUGUUAAUAAUAUAAAAUAUAUAAUAAUAAUUACAAAGAAUCAUAAAUUAGAAAAAUUAUUUAUUUUACAAUCUAUUUCUUAAGUAAGAUAAAUCUCGUAAUAAGUUAAGUUAUAAUGUAAAAAAUAUUUUCAAUUUAUAAUCAUUUAAGGAGUCAUUUAACAAUAAAAUCUUUCUUUUUUUGAUCAAUUGGUCAUGGUACAGAGCAUCAUCUAUAUUCAUGGUGAUAUUAUUAUUACUCCGUAUUCUCAAAAAACACGAUUUAACAUUUAGAGAAAGUUCCUACCUUUUAAAAAGAACAUGUAUGCAACAACUACCCAUACUUUAUCUUACCACGACAAAACUAAUAGUGACUAAAUCAAUUUUCUCGAAUAAAGCAAAAUUUCUUAAAAUUAAUUUAAUAUACAAAUAUGAUGACUUUUUGCAAAAAUUAGUUUUGGAAAAUUAGUGACAGAAAAUAGUAAUGAUUAUUGUUUAGAUGUGUAAAUAGCCUAAACAUGAUCCCUAAUACCAAUAUCCACGUGCAUCUUAACACCUUUCGUCAUAUUCUUUCAUUCAUGGUCACUGGUUCAAGAUUUGAAUUUGAUCAUUAAAUAUGUUCAAUAAUAUUAGAGAUCCCAACAAUUGAGUACCAACUUAAAUCCCAAUGCUAUGUGUCAUUAACAAAUGUUGUGUCAUUUAUAAUUAUUGAAUGAAUAAUUCGUUAAUUUAUUGAUAAAUGAAAAUUUAUUAAUUUAAAGAGAGAUAUUUUUUUUUUUGGGUUUUAAGAAGAGUUUUGUUGGUACAUGUACAUACUUAUAAAGAAAUAAACUUGUAAUUAUACUAUAUCUUUCUUUCUUUAUUCAGUUUGGUGGGAUAUUGUGAUAAAUCAUUGGAUUAAAAUGCAUUUCUAAAUUAAAACUUGUUAAAAUCUAAUUUAUUUGGGAAGCGCAUAUUAUUUGUCAGUCGUACUUCUCAAGUCUCAACUUAGCAAGUUAUUUCUAACUUGUCAGUCUCUAUUGGUUCUCUAAAGCUAAUAGUCUCGAAUCUCCCGCAUUUGAUAUCUUGCCAUUAUUGUUGGCAUUAACAUGUUACCUGAGAUUGGGAUUCAUUAAAAUCCUCAAUGUAAUCGGUGGAACGAAUGGAUUUCUUCUGUUCACCAAUCCACCAAAAUUUCUGUAAUUAAAUUCAAGAGUCAAGAUCUAUGCUUAUAAUCUAUUCUAACAGCUAAUAUUCUAUUUUAUAUUUACUUAAAUAUGAAGAGCUAUGCUUGUCAUUAACUUCAAAUGUGAUCGAAGCAGCCUUACAUCUGUAUAUUACUUAUUCCCAACCUUUUUUUUUUGACUUCAUAUACUUUAUUUUCAUGUUAUUUACUCUUUUUUUCCCCUUUCUGACAAUUGAGGUAGGGGGUCAAACUUGAAAGUAUCUUAAAAUCAGACAAAUUUUUUUUUUUUUAAGAUAGCUGCUAAUAUGCUCUAUUAGACAAUGACAAGUAAUAACCUAGUUGUUUGCAUUAGAAAUGAUAUUUUUUGUGGUGCUGAUAAAGAGGUUGAUUAUGAUUCAACAAUUUAAAAUAUGAAAACAUGUGGAAGACGGCCGCAAUUAAAUUGAUUGUAUGAAAAUAUUUCAAUGAAAUUUUAAAAAUUUAGUACUUGUUAUCUUAUCGAGAGUUUUUUUAAAUUAUAUUACUACUUGAACUUGGCUGCUUUUGUAUUGAAUUCCCAGCGUUGCCAUUGCUUCUACUCAAAAGCCAUUUAAGUUUGUGUAAGCUACCUAUAGUUUGAACAACAAUUUACUCAUGAAUUGUUGUUCAUAAUAGCAAUUUGAUUGAAAGUGCGGCUGCACUAAUUUUCUAGAUGAAUUUUUUCCUACAUGCUUGUUCUCGUAUGACCCAAAAUCCUGCUACAUCAGUUGUAUUAGAAAUUAAUACUGGGUUACAAUUAUGCAUCCCCACCAAUAUUUCUUGAGGAAAGAAACUCAUAUCGCCCCUAGGCUUUUAAUGAGGCUCAUUUUUAUGAAUCUGGAUGGCAUUAGAUAUCUCUCCGAAUAUUGGUGGGAGUAUAUCGCAGAUCAAUGGGCUAUACUACAAAGUGUAUGUACGUUGACUCUCAAUAAAUACAAACGAUUCUCUGAUAUGAUUCAAAACAUCAGUGCACGCAUCAUUUUAACGAGAGAGAAUAUUCUAAGAACGAAAUUGAAGGUGCAAUCAGCAACUAAAAUGAAGCCAGAAAUGUACACGCAUGAGGAAGUUUUCCUAGAAGAUUGAUAUUUCUUUAACUAGCAAACAAUACAAGUCCAAAGCUAACCAAACCAUACCUGCAAGUCCGGGGCUUAAAUGGAGUACUUGUAAGCAUAAAACAUUAAUCAAAACACAGUAUAGACACACACACACACCCCUACAUACAUACCAGCAAAUUCGAAAUAGAAAAAGGAGUGCAACUAUUCAAGUUUGUUGACAAUAUUGCAACCAUGGCAUAUUAAAGCAAAUCCUUAAAAUCAGCUAAACGAAACAAUGCCCUGUCUCAUGAAUCGAUGCUCAACUAAAAAUUGAAAUUGAAAGUCCGGCUGGUGUUGUUAUUAGAUAGAUAUAACAAGAUCUUUCUUUGACAGUUCUUAUUAGAUAGAUAUAAAAAGAUCUGCUUUGACAGUUCUUAUUAGAUAGAUAUAAAAAGAUCUUUCUUUGUUUCUCUGCUGUAAUUUGUGGCUAUCCCACUCUGUUUUGCCAGUCAAGCUGAGUCUACGUUGAGACAUAAUUUUGACAUCAGAAGCGGCCUCAAUUAGUUUGGCAUUUUUAUAACCUCCUUGAAGGUUUUACGAUAAACAUAAAUCUACUGACAAAGUGGGCAAAAAGAAAAUGCAUGUAAAAGUAUGAGUUAUCAAAUAAGAUUAAAACUCACCCAAUUCAAUCCAUCAGAUUCCGUAAGGAUACAACUGGAUGUCAUACCGCCACUCCAUAUUCUCGAAAGUCCGUAGUCCUUGUCUCAACUGUGUCUGGGGCCAGUGUAAGUCCAUUUUUGCGCAAGCUCUUUAUGCACCACAGCUCUUCUGGAAGCUUUCUCAAGUAAGCACACGGGUUGACAAUUAAGCAUUCAAGUUUCGGCAUUGCUCCAGCCCCCAUCGUCCACUCAUCUAGCCAAUACAUUGACUUCAGGUGCAAAACCUUAAGUUCGGGAAAGCUACUCAAGCCAACACAAGCAAGCUUUCUUCCUAAAUACGAGUUCUGCUUCAGUUUCAGCACUCGAAGGCGUGGAAGAUUUUCCAGAAUUGGCAUGGGAUCCUCCAUUAGCUCAGUAUUUGAUAAGCUCAGUUGGAUCAGACUUGGGGGAAAUUGGUAUUCAGACAGGACCAUCCGUGAGGGCUUGCUCUCAUUCACCAGCUUCAAGCAUUCAAGUUUGUGGAGUUCGCAUAGGCUUUUGGAAACCCCUGAAUGAUAGCAACUCAAAUCUCCAGAUAUCCGAAGAGUUUGAACAUUAGGUAGUCUGCCCAAUAUAUCAGGAGUACAACUACUGGGGUUUAAAGUUGAUAUGAAAAUGAGAUUUUUCAGGGAGCUAGAAUAAUUUUUUGGAGGUGCGGGCAGAGUGAUAGAACCAAAGUUUAGAUGCAUGAGUUUUUGCAUCUUCCAAAUAUCCUCUGGUGACUGAUCUAUGUAGCUAGAUGGCAUUUCUAGUGUUUGAAGGUUUAAAAGGGUGCAUAGCAGUGAAGGAAGGCAUUUGAGCGAAGGGAUAUUCAAUUUCAAAUACUUCAAAAGGAAUAAAUUUUCUAAUCCGGGUGGAUAUUGGUCCAGGACUGCAGAACCCAAGUUCAGUACCCGAAGGUAUUUGAACCUUUUAAAAAAAUUCUCGCAAUCUUUCGGAUUAAGAUGAUAUCUUUUUGGACUGUGAUUGAGAAAAGAUUGGAGAUACAUGUCAGAAUGUUCUAAAGAAAGGAACUCAAUCAAAUCAUCGACAAUGAAGCACCGUUUAACAUUUGCGGGUGGUUCCUCUUCCACGUCAUGCAUCCAGACAAAUCCCGUCUUCUUUGCCACCACAAACAAUGAAGUGUAGUAUACAAUACUUGGAAAAUAACACGAUUUAAUUGUGCCUCCGGCCCUUCUUUUACUCACUUGAAUGAAGCCGCGAUGGAUUAGUUCUUUCAAGUAAUGUUCGGCAGUUUCUUCACUGUUGUAUGGUAUGAAACCUUCAGCUACCCACAAAUGAUAUAAUUGCCUCGUGGAUAUCUCAAUGCCUGGAGGGAAGACACACAAAUAGAUGCAGCAGAUUUUCAAGUGAAAAGGUAACUCCAACACAGAACAAAUUCCAAUGAAAAUUGUCGGAAUCGUUUCGCCUUGAACAUAAUUUUCUAAUGGCAUACUUCCAUAGUGUAGGAUGAAAAAUUGCCAGGCUUCAUGCUUUAAUCUGAUCAAUGGUCCUCCAAUGAGCACCGAAUCAAGCCGAAUCUUCUCUCCAUUUUCCAUUUCAAGCGACGCAAGGAGGUCUGGAUCAGUGACUGUUAUCAAUACUCUGCUUCCAUUCUGAUUAUCAGGAAGAACUUCUUCAAGAUCAUCCCAUAUGUCAAUGUUAUCGCAGACAUCAUCAAGCACAAUAAAGUACUUCUUGUUUGUUAGGUAAUCUCAAAGAAUAGAUUCCUUGAAUUGAUAAUCUUCACCGAUAAUUACACUAACCCGAGAUGGAGGCAUCACAGACUUGAUUAUGUCAUCCAAUAUCUUGCCCAAAUCGUAGAAUACAGAAACCCUGACCCAAGCAAGACAGUCAAAAUAGAACCUGACAUGAUUAUUGUUGUAAGUAUCUGCAGCAAAAGCAGUCCUAUCGAAGCCACUGCUGUCGAGAAUUGCAACCACUGCAAGCCCAGAUGGUCCCUCAAUCAAUAGAUCAAACAACUUCUCUCUGCCCCUUUCAAAUUCACUGAUAUCGAGCCGAGGUUGUCCCUCAUUCAAUAGGCGAAUGAUUUCGUUACUUUUUUCACUGAUAUCAAAACCAUUGUCGCCGGGCGGAAGUUGUUGCAUCCGAUUUCUAAUAUCAAUGAUUUCACUGUGGACAUGAAGAGCCAUAUUAGUGCUGCUUUCACUUUCGUUUUCACUGUUUUGCUGCUGCAUUAUGUUGAUGAAGAAUCUGUCAAUGGCUUCCUCAGAUUCAUGGACAAAGUCAUUGAUGUGCACCAGAAUUUCCAAAAUAUCUGGUCUUUUAACGUCUUCUUCAUCGCUUUCUUCUAAGUCCAACAGUUGCAAAAAAGGAAAAGAUAUUUCGAAGUCAUCGAAUUCUUCUAGAAUGAGUUGAAACAAAUGCCGAGCCAUGUCAGCUUCAUAGUUUCCCAGAAGAGUAGCAGCAAUAAUUUCGGACUCCGUAAGAAGGUUUUGAAAAAGUGGGGUUAAAUUUGUUGAAUCUGGCAGCGGCAACGUGCCUUCUUCACCUGCUAACACCCUUUUCAACCUCUCACAAAUCAGUCGGAGGUGGAAUUCCAGCAUUUCUCCUUCUCUCCGUAGCACUCAAUUAGAAUUAUCUUCGAAUUCUAAUUUAAUUGACUAAGUAGUUAUAGCUAUUCUAUUGAUUAGGUCUAGCUAUUAUAUUCUAAAUGAUUAAUUGAGAGGUAUAGUUGAAAGAUUAAACACCAUGGAAGAAUUUGAAAGGAAAAUGCCAAGAAACUGUGUAAGUGGCUAAAUUCCACAAAUAUGACAUUAUUGCUCAUUUUUUAACUCAAAAAAAGGGUACGCAUUCAUUUAGAGAAAAGUCCAAGACGCGUGCUUUUUAAAAAGAACAGGUAUCCAACCUCUAUCUUAUUAAAUUACAACCAUGACAUAAUUGAUGGUGCUUAAAUCAAUUGUUUCUUUUUUAAUUUAAAGAAUUUUUCAUUAAAAAAAUAUUUUAAUAUCAAAUUGCCUUCAGUGGCGUAACUGCCUCAGGCCCAGUAACAGGACUAAUUAAAAAUUUUACAAUUUUUGGGCAUGGAAAUAGUAGUAUUAAACAUUAGAAAGGUAAGGUUGUUCUGUUAAAGAAUUGAUAUUGACAUAAUUUUAUUUUGGUUUUCGUGGAAAAAAAAUUUGUUGACAAGUAAGAAAAUAUUUUUAUUUUUUAAAAUUUAUUAUGCAUAUUUUAUCAUAUUAAAGUAAUUUUAAUAAUAAAUAGAAACAUAAUAUUACAAUAAAUAAAUUAUAGUUUAAAUUAUUUUGAAUAUUAUAAAAAAUAAUGUUAAUAUUAUUAAUAGGAAGACAUUUUGUUAAUUUUAAAAUCUUUUUAAUCCAAAGGUUUAUUUAAAAUCUCUAUAAUAAAUACAAAUAUAAGAUUAAAAUAAAAAUCAUAAUUUCAAAAUUUUAAUAUUAUUUUAAAUGUUAAAUAUACUUUAAUGUUAUUAGCCUACUACGUAGAUUUUAUUAUUUAUAUUAUAUUCGUAUUGAUUAAAAUUUUUUAAAGUCAAUUUUUUAGUUAGUACAUUCAAGAGGUAUCAUAGUUAAAGAAAAGAUUUUGGUGCAACUGUUUUAAAAUUUCAGGGUAUAAAUGAUAAUUUUUUUUAAAAUUUUAAGGAAGUAGGUAUUAUUUUUCCGACAAUUUAUUUUAUUUUGAGGGAAAUCCGAUGAGAAAUAUCAUCAGAGAACAUUAAUUUAACAUUCUUUACCUUUAUGAAAAAAGUGGAAACCAAGAACUAUUCAAAUUUUUUUUUUUUGUGUAAUUCAAAAAAUGCAUCCACCAAACAAGCUUAUCAUAAUUUUCCCACUUUAUUCAUUUUCGAUGCUUUUCAAAAGAGGUUCCUUUAAUCCAUCUAGCAUCUGCAGCCCCCACUAUUUUACAAAUCUCCAUCCCACAUCUACACUAUCAAAAAAGUUGAUGGAAAUUGAACCCAUUAAGUUAUGUUCAUUACUGGUCAUUAUCUUUCUAUGAGCCACUUAUUUUGAGCAUUAGCGAUCUUCUAAGGAAUCAUGCCUUUUCAGGAUCGUUUUCUUUCAUUUCCUUAUUGUAGUAGUUAAUUAAAUAAAGAACGAACAAGUGAACUUUGUCUAUUUCGAGGAAGAACUAGGUUUCCAACACUAGAGGAACUUUGAAGAAAAUUAAUUGGAAGCCUUUAUUCAUCUUUGAAGAAAAUUACGUGCCAAUGUAACCAAGGCUUUUAUUCAUCUUCGGACUAUGAAUUUAUACAAAAACAUUAACAGAAAAUAACAAAGACACAGCUAAAUGAUAGCAACAAGUGUUGAUUUAGUGGACCACUUCUACAAGUAAAUAAAAACUAAAUAUUUAUUUAAGGAGGGCUUUUGUUAGUAGAGUUUUUAUAAAUAGAAAUUUAACAAAAAAAAAUUAUAGUUAUUUAGUUGUCAAUGUCCAAAUUGAUGAAUUAUUGUUCUUUUUGUUAACAUGUGUUUGUUUUACUUAAUAAUAAAAGUUUAGUUUACAAUUACACCGGUGUCAAAUCAGCAGAGCAUUUUUGCAGCCAGUCACAUUAUACAUUAUAUACUAAUAGCAUCGGCAAGAGUUUUCGAUUGUUGCAACUUGCAAUGCACGCGAUGCGAGAAAAUGAGAAUCUUGUUUAAUUGCAAUAAUGACAAACCUAAUCCUUUCAUUAGGAGUAAAUUAAUAAUCGUUUGUUAUUAUUGAAUAUGUAUAAAGAAAGGACAAUUCUAUUCAUAGAUUCGACUUAUUUUUUGUUUAAAGUAAUUAAUCAUUCAACCAUCUUCAUUUGCCUCUGGCCAAUGCCCUUGUAGAUUAGUUGAAGCGUUUAUUACUUAAUUCAGAUAAUUACAACGUCCUUUUCGCUAAUUAAUUAUGAUUAUGAACAUUUUCAUAUAGCAAGUGGCAUUGUAGAUCUAAACUACGUUGCUAUUUCAAUACGUUAAUUAAGUGAUUCUCCUCAUUGUCAUCAACGUUAUAAACAGGAAUUGUGCAAACAGUACACAAUGCUGCAGCAAGGCGUGGGUGGCUAGAGUUUUGCAACCACCCUUGAGAUCCUGUGCUGCCAGUAGUAAAAGAAUUUUACGCCAAUUUGGUAAGCCCUGGUCAGCACAACAUUUGGGUAAGAAACUCACUUGUUCCAUUAGACUCUCGAGUUAUAAAUGUUUUUUAUAAUUUACCUGCUGAAAUUAAUUGUGAGUAUGCCAAGUUGCUUGACAAAUUGACCCCGCAACAAUGGAACACAAUUUUCACGACACUUACGGUAGAGGGUGCAUCGUGGGCUAAUGAGGAGGGGCAUGUAAUUAACAAGAUAGAUUUAAAACCCAUUGCUAAGGUGUGGGUGAAAUUUCUAAAAUCCAGGCUUAUGCCAACCACCCACACCACUACUGUUUCACAGGAAAGGUUGGUGCUGUUAUAUGCUAUUGUUAGAGGGCUUCCCAUAGAUGUGGGAAGCAUUAUCGAAAAAGAAAUUCGAGAUUGUGCCAUGAAAAACCACAAGGCUGCUGCCUUGUUAUUUCUUUCACUCAUAACCAGCAUAUGUGUAGUAUCAGGUGUUCGUCUUGAUGCAAAGGAUGAAAUUUGUAAUUAUAUUAUGGCUCCAUUUGGUAUAACUUUUUAAUUCGAACUUAUUUAAGGAGAAUUUUUAUUAGUAGAGUUUUUAUAAAUAGAGAUUUUACUAAAAAACAAAAAUUAUAGUUAUUUAGUUGUCAAUGUCCAAAUUGAUGAACUAUUGUUCUUUUUGUUAACAUGUGUUUGCCAGUCACAUUAUACAUUUUUGCAACUUGCAAUGCAAGCGAUGAGAGAAAAUGAGAAUCUUGUUUAAUUGUCAAUAAUGACAAACCUAAUCGUUUCAUUAGGAGUAAUUUCAUAAUCGUUUGUUAUAAUUGAAUAUGUAUAAAGAAAGGAAAAUUCUAUUCGUAGAUUCGACUUAUUUUUUGUUUAAGGUAAUUAAUCAUUCAACCAUCUUCAUUUGCCCCUGGCCACUGCCCUUGUAGAUUAGUUGAAGCGUUAAUUGCUUAAUUCAGAUAAUUACAACGUCCUUUUCGCUAAUUAAUUAUGAUUAUAUACGUUUUCAUAUAGCAAGUGGCAUUGUAGAUCUAAAUUAUGUUGCUAUUUCAAUACGUUAAUUAAGUGAUUCUCCUCAUUGUCAUCAAGUGGAAAAUAGCUCAAUUGUUUCCCUGCAUCGAUUUUCAUUGGUAAGUGAUUUCUUAUGAUAUUCGUUUGAGCUUUCCUUAUUAAAAAAGCUUGAGCCUUGAUCACCUAAUACUGAUAUCAAUUAACUUGUGAACGAUUUUGUAAUGAAAUUAGGAGUUAAAUAUAUAAGAUUUUUACGUGAUGAAUUUUGAUUUUUUUAAUUUUUUGAUGUAGUCAAUUUGCUAAUUUUAUAUAUUUCAUAUUCAACGGAAUUUGGGCACGGAAAGUUUGGAUUCUAAUAUUUAUAUAUUUAGCUUUAAUCAGCUUGACUUUAGCAAUCUUUUUCCCUCAUCAUUAAGGGAUUCAGAAUUAGAGAAACGCUAGGAAGAGGAAGAAAAUAACUUUGGAAGUAAGUAAGAGGGAAAAAAUUAUGAAAUUUGGAAUUAUUUUUUGUAAAGUAUGUUGCGUUUACUAAACUGGAAUUAGAAUGAGCUGAAAUCAGAAUGAAUAGGAAUGCGAAUGUGCUGAAAUCGGAAUAGGUAAUGAGAAUAAGAAUAAGUUGUUUACUUGAACUGUAAAAAUCAAAAUCGGAAUGAGCUGAAUUGCAAUUACUUUGUCUUGGAAUCGGAAUCGGAAUCGGAAUGAGUUAGAUUAUAACAAAUUACUGAAAAGUACUUAAUGAAUUAUUGUCAUAAUUAUUAUUUUAUAUUUUAAUUAUAGUGAUUAUUUAUUCAAAAAUUAUUAUUAUUAAUUAUUUCCAAUAAUAUAUUAAUAUGUUAAUUAAUUUUAAAAAUUAUUAAUUAAUUUAUUAUAAUAAUAUACUAAUUAAUUAUAAUUAUUAUUAUAAAAAUAUAUUAAUAAUAAAAUUACUAAUUUAAUUGUAAUAAUAUAUGAAUUAAUUAUAAUAAUUAUUAUAAUAGUAUAUGAAUUAAUUAUAAUAAUUAUUAUAAUAGUAUAUUAAUUAAUAAUAAUAAUAAAAAUAUAUUAAUUAUGUGAUUAUUUAUUCAAAAAAUAUUAUUAUUAAUAAUUAUUGUUAAUAAUGUAUCAAUAUACUAAUUAAUUAUAAUAAUUAUUAUAAAAAUAUAUUAAUUAUUAAUAAUAAAAUUACUAAUUUAAUAAUAAUAAUAAAAAUAUAUUAAUUAUGUGAUUAUUUAUUCAAAAAUUAUAAUUAUUAAUAAUUAUUGUUAAUAAUGUAUCAAUAUAUUACUUAAUUAUAAUAUAUUAAUUAAUUAUAAUAAUAUAUUAAUUAAGUAUAAAUGAGGACAAAGUGGGUAUUUUUAAUUUCACGAAGGGGCAAAAUGGUCAAUUCUAGUAAUGGGAGACUCACUCCCACCCUCUCCUUUGGGAAUGAGUCUCCCAUUCCUCAUUCCCAAAUUGUGGUGGGCCCCAUGAUUUUGACUCCGAUUUCUAACUCAAUUUUGCGAAGUAAACGCUACCAAUGAUUCCGAUUUCGGAUUCUGAUUCACUUAUCUGAGAAGUAAAAGCAACAUAAAUGUGUAUGAAUAAUUGAUACCUAUGAAUAGUUUUGGGAGUUUUAGCUAGGAGUCAUCUAUUGAAGAUGUUUAGCAAUUGAAGAUCUCUGUCUCAGUAGUUUUCCCAAUCAAAAUCAAGAAGCAAAAAAACUUGCCAUUUUUCUACUUGAUAAUUAAUUGAAAUUUAAGAAAAUACAAUGGCAUUUCAAUUAGAAUUGGUAAUUGUUUAUCUUUUUUCAUUGAUCAAAUUCUAAUCGUGAUCCAAUAGUUAUGGAUGAAGGAAAUAUUAUGAGAGGCGAUAGGCCAAGUGAAGACGUACCAGCAAAUUCAAAAUAGUCGGGAGGUGGACGUCCAGCAUAUCUCCUUCUCUCUGUAGCACCCAGAUGCAUUGUUAUUUGCUCCAAGAAAUGUUAAAAGGAUUGGCCCUAUCUCAAUGUGGUUAGUGGCAAGGGCGGAGACAGCAUAUUAAUUGACUGUGGGCUUACUCAACUGCGAUAAAAAAAAUUUAAAAAAUAAUAAAUAAUAAAUUUAAAAGAUUUAUCAUACUUCAAUAUAUGUUUAUAAUUAUCCUUUACGAGUUUUCAUACAUUGAUAACGUUGUAUUACAACUUCAUUAUCAAUAUUAUUGUGGGCUGUUUAAAAAUUUGAUUAAUAUUAAUAUUUAUAGGCUUGAUUUUAUUUUGUAAAGCCCAUCUCUUUUUAUUUGUUUUAAAAACUUAGAGUGUGAGAAUUUAAGUAUAAUUAUGUAUUAGGAACUUGAAUAUAAAUUAGUGGGGGCUUAGGAAAAAUUUAUUAGAAAUUUUUGGCAAAUCAAAUUAGUUAGUAAAAGAUUUUUUUUUUUUUUUUCAGUGGGGACUUAAGUCCCCACUGGUCCCAAGCUAGAUCCGCCACUGGUUAGUGGUGAAAAAUUAAACACCAUGGAAGGAUUUGCAAGGAAUAUGCCAAGAAACUGGCUAAGUUCCACAAAUAUGGCAUUAUUGCUCUUUUUUUUUUAAAGAAAAAUUAUACACGUUAAUUUAGCAAAAAGUCUAAGACACGUGCCUUUUGAAAAGAAUAGCUAUUACCAUGACACAAUCGAUGCGGCUGAAACCAAAAUUUUCUUUUCUUAAUGUAAAGUUUUUUUUUUAAAUAGAUUUUAAUAUCAAAAUGCCCUUCGAUGUUAUUACUCUCACAAGCCCUGUAACAGGAGUAAUAAAAAAGUUUAGAAUUUUUGGGCAUGAAAAAAGUAGUAUUAAACAUCAGCAAGCAAAGGUUGUUCUGUUAAAGAAUUGAUAUUGACGUGAUUUUAUUUUGGUUAUCGAGAAAAAAAUAUAUUUGUUGACAAGUAAGAAAAUAUUAUUAUAUUUUACAAUCUAUUAUACAUAUUUUAUUAUAUUAAAUAAUACUAAAUAGAAACAUAAAAUUAGAAUAAAAUAAAUUAAAAUUAAAAUUAAAAUUAUUUUGAAUAUUAUGUAAAAAAUAAUGUUAAUAUCAUUGUUACUUGUAAAAUAUAUUUAGCCUAAAGAUUUAUUUAAAAUUUUAUAAUGAAUAAAAAUAUAAAAAUAAAUUAAAUAUCAUAGUUUAAAAUCUUAAUAUUAUUUUAAAUAUUAAAAAUACUUUAAUGUAUCUUAAUAUUAUUUUAAAUAUUAAAAAUACGUUAAUGUUAUUAUUCUACUACACAUGUUAUAUUAUUUAUAUUAUAUUUGUAUUAAUUAAAAAUUUUAAAGUCAACUUUCUAGUAACUAUAUUCAAAGGUAUUAUGGUUAAAUAAAGGUCUUAGUGUUUCUUUUUCAAAAUUUGAGGGUCUACAUGAUAAUUUUUCCAAACCCUAAGGUAUAGGAGUCCUUUUUGUCAAUAAUUUAUUUCACUUUUGAGAGAAUACGAUGAGAAAUAAGAUCAGAGAAAUGUCAAUUUAAUGUUCUCUAGCUUAAUGAAAAAAAAAUGGAAACCAAGAACUAUUCAAUUUUGUAUUUUUUGUUUGUAAUUCAAAAAAUCCAUCCGCCAAACAAGAUUCACGCAUUUAUGUUGUCAUAAAAUGAAAAAACAGUUUGUGAAAAAAUGGCACCAAACAUACCCUUAAUGUCCCACAUGAUUUCUUAUGAAGCCCAUAUUAGAUAUAUUUAUACAUUUUACUGCAUUUAGGACAUGUUUGAUAGCCUGCAUUAUAUAGGAUAAAAACAUAAUUUUGUAUUAAAUUAAUGCACACUCACGUUUGGCGCUAAAAGUAACUCCAGCCGCAUUGCAUUAAUGGGCUGCUACUGCGGCAAUUGCCGCACUAGCUUGCCUCUUUUUCUUUUUAAUUUUAUUUAUAAUAAUAAUAAUAAUAAUAAUAAUAAUAACAUAAUAUAACUUUUAUUUUAAUAUAAUAUUAAGUAUAAUUUUUAUUUUUACAUUAUAAUUAUUGAUAUAAAUUAAUAAAUUUAUUAUUUAUUAUUCAAUAAUAUUAUAUUAUUAUUUUUUUAUUUUUACAUUAUAAUUUAUUAGUAAAUUUAUAAUUUAAUAUAAUUAAUGAUAAUAGAAAAUAUCAUUACAUGUACUACAAAACUCUUACUUGGAUUAUUUAACACAAUUUAUUUUAUUCGUGAAUAUGUUAUAACAAUUGUAUCACUUUAUUGUUUUGUUAUUAUUUUGUGGUAUGUAUAAAUUUUUAUUCUAUUAUUCAAAGAUGACUUUUGAACUAAUCUUAUAGGUUUUAACUAUUUAUUUAUGUUGUUAUAUUAUUAGAGAUUAUUUGAUUAAAUUAUUUGCUUCGAUCUUUAUUUUACAGGUCAUAUAUUUAGAAAUUACUGAAAAAUAAAUGUUCUACUUCCAAAAAAUUUAAGGCUAUAAGCUCGAUCUUUAUGAAUAAUUGUGAUAUUUUUUAACAUUUACACUAAAAAAAUUGUUAAAUUUCUAAAAUUUAAGACUUCUAUAUUUAGUAUUUUUCCAAUUACUAAUAAGUAUUAUUUUCUAAAUAUAUAAUUUAAAUUAAUCACAAAAAAUUAAUACAGUACAGUGCAAUAUCAAAUAUAAUAUAAUUAAAAAUUAUACAGUACAAUGUAGCACCAAAUAUUGUACAAUAUUAUUAUAAAAUAGUACUGAUGCAAUACAAUAUAAUACAAUAUAGUGUGCCAAACGCACCCUUAGAGUGUGUUUGGAACAUGGGAUUAUAGGGUAUUAAAACACUGUUCACAUUAGCUUAAUACCAAUAUCAUGUUUGGAAAGAAAUUUUAAGGGAUUAAAGGGGGGUGAGCUAAUGCCAUAACUGCGCCAUUAGUGUCUUGGUUUUUUUUUAAAUAAUAAUAAAAAAUAUAAAUUCCUAAUUUUAUGUAAUAUUAUAUAAUAUUAAUUUUUAUUUUCUUUGAUCUUUACAUUAUAGUAAUUAAUAUAAGUUAAUAAAUUUAUAAUUUAUUAUUCAUAUUUUAAUUUUUAUUAUAUUAAAAAUAUAACUAAAUAAUUUAAUUUUAAUUAUAUAAUAAUUAAUGUAUAAAAUUGAUUAAUAUUUAAUAAGUUAAUACAACUAGUAAUAAGUGCUUAAAUAAUAUAUAAAAAUAAAAAUAUAACAUAAUAUUACAUUAUUUAAUUAUAUUACAAUAACUAAUAUAUAAAAAUUGAUUAUUAUUUAACAAUUUAAUAUAGCUAAUAAUAGAUACUUAAAUAAUAAUUUAAUAUAACUAAUAAUGAAUAUUGAUAUAUGAAUAUAUUUAAAUAAUAUUAAUACCAAUAUAUAUAAUAAUAUAAAAUAUUAUUACAUGUACUGUAGUAUUCUUACUUGGAUUAUUUAGCGCAAUUUAUUUUAUUAGUGAAUAUGUUACAACUAUUGUAUCACUUUAUUAUUUAAAUUAAUCAAAAAAAUUAAUACAGUACAAGAUAGCACUAAACAUUGUAUAACAUUAUUAAAAUACAGUGUUAAUGCAAUACAAUAUAAGACAAUACAUCUAUAUUAAAAUAAAAUAAAAUAAUUUAAUUUAAUAUAAUACAGUAUGUCAAACGCACCUCGUAUAUUUUAAUUUCAAAAGAAGUUGGUCCUUCCGUUAUUUAUAAAAGAUAACUUUAUUUUCAGAUUACCACUAAACUCUGAAGUAGAAUUGGUGUAAUGUUAAGAGAGAGUAACACAGUUUUCCAUUACCAUCUUUGAAAAUAGAAAGAUAUGGAUCAGUGUAUUUAAGAGUUAUCGUGAAAAUCAUACAGUUCAAUUCCCUGACACAUAUAUUUAUGAGCAUAUGCCAAAAGAAUAAAUAGAUAGAAAGUAAAUUUACAAUCCUCACUUCCUCACAAUUGUUAAAAUGAAGAUGCAUUACAACUGUGAACUGUCACUAUUUUAGCCUUUUUUAUUUUUUACUUUUAGUUAUAGUGCGAUGGAGACAGUGAACAUCAAGGAUGAGAAUAAAAGUUAAAGAUGACCCACCCACUUUCUUUUUAAAGUGCUCUGCUCAAAGACAAACUUCCUCUGGCUAAUUAAUUUAGAUGUGAAGAGAGAAUAAAGUCCUAGAUGCCUUCUGAAAUUAGAAAUACAUUUUAUAUGCUUUAAUUAUGAUUAUUUGGUAGACUAUAGACCUAAAAGACAUGUUAGAUUAUAAAACAGUGCGAUUAAAAAAAAAAGAGUAUUUGUGACGUCAAAUAACAAUUGGUAACUAAAAUCCAAAAUAUUUGAGUUGUUAAAAGCAAAUAAAAAAAAAGAAGGUAAGAGUGAUGCAGAAACACAAUAUUAGCUUAUCUUGAUUUUCCCACUUUAUUCAUUCUCGAUGCUUUUCAAAACAAAUUCUUCUAAUCUUUCUGGUGUCUGCAGCCCCUUGUCACGGGACGAGAGGUUUCGAGCCCGUGCGGUACUCUCGCAUCCCAUACUGCGAGAGUAAACCUAGUGGAAGUGGCACAAUAUCGACUGGUUUCACCCUGUCUUGGGCUCAUCAGGAGAACGGCUCCAGUUCCCAACCAGUGUGUGAAGAGCUUCGCCUAAACCCCUCUUCAACGUUAAGUCCUUGACUAGCGACAAGCUCCCCAAACUCAACCAGGUUGGCCUGCCUGAACUCCAAGAAAUCUAGGAUCAUUGUAUUCCCCACACGACGCCCCUGAAGCACGUCUCCUACAAUCAGCACAACCCUUAUCGAUACCAGCGUACAAACGCAUAUCUUCGGCGUCACAAUUGCAGUCCGUGACACCCUGCUCUUGUUAUAAAACUCCACCCCAAAUCUACACUACAAACAAGUUGAUUGAAAUUAAACAAUUGCUUUUUGAAGUGGACCCAUUGAGUCGUGGUCAUUACUCGUCAUUGUCUAUUUUUUCUAUGAGCCAUUUAUUUUGAGCAAUAGUGAGCUUCUCUGAACUACUCCAAUUAUUGAUGUAACUCCAGUGGCUGCAUCCAUAGUUGAAUAUAUGACAGUAUUAGCUCUUAUUUGAGAAUAUAGGGGGAUCUUUCUUUGUUUCUUUGUUGCAGUGUUCUAGUUUAUAGUCUUGCUGUUAAUGAAUUCACUGAGGCAUUAUUAAUUUAAUUUCAGUGAAGUAAUUAUGGAUGAAAAAUAAAUAAAGGAUAACAGAAUAGAGCUGAAGUGCUGAAUCGGCUAUUAAAGAAAGUGUCACGUGAUCACAAUCACACUGAUGCACAACUCUCUCUAUGUACUCCAAAUUCAGCCAAACCAUACAUGCCUCAACAAAAUUAAACCGUAGUUCUCAUCACUACAGUAAAUGAAGCCCACAAAGACAGCUGAAAUGGAAAAUAUUGACUAUUGAAUGGAUCAAUGCUGAAUUACACUUGAAAUGGGAAGCUUGGCUGCGGUUACGAUGUUUCCCCCUCUGAUUUUUCUCCAAAACAAAUUCCGUUGUAAAUAAUAUUCAAUGUAGCAACACUUUAUUCAGCAAAGAAAAUACCUAAUUUUUCAACUAACAAAUUCUCUUGUCUAAACUAAAAAAACUCACAUCUCUCCAAUCUAUCUACAAAAUAUUGGAGAUGAGAGGUGAUUUGUCAACUCGAUAAAUAAAUUCAUGCAUAAUGUUACCAAUAAUGAUAAAUUACUUAAUAAUUCUUAUAAAGAAUCAUAAAUAAGGAACAUUAACCAUUUUACAGUCUAUUACAUAAGUAAGAUUAAUCUUAUAAUAAGUUAACUUAUAACGUAAUAAAUAUUUCAAUUCAUAAUUAUUUAAGAAGUCACUUAACAAUAAAAUAUUUUUUUAUUUAAUUGAUCAUGUCAUAUAACGUUAUCUAAACUCCUGACGAUAUUAUUAUUACUCACUUUUCUCAAAAAAACAUGACUAACGUUUAGAGAAAAGUCAUGCCUUUUAGAUAGAUAGAAUAUGAUUACAAGCUAUCCAUACUUUAUCUUACCAUGACAAAAUUGAUGGUGAUUAAAUCUAUUUUUAAAAUAGAUUUAAUGCACAAACAUGAUGACUUUUGCCAAAAAUUAGUUUCAGAAGAUAACUAAAUUAAGUUGCAAAGGAGCUUACUUCAAUUUCUAAGCUUUUCAAUCAUGAUUCCUCCAUGCCUUCCUCUGAUACCAUUUUGUUACGUGCCAACGUAAUUGACCUUGUAAUUGGUUUGUAUAAGGAAUGAAGCCCUUUCAAGAUCGUUUCUUUUGUGUCCAUAUUGUAGUAGACUAGUAGUCAAGUAAAUAAAGAGUGAAUAACUGAAUUUGGUCUAUUUCGAAGAAGACUAUGGCCUCCACACUACAAGAAAAUAGGCGAUAGAUAACGGGAAAUAACCGUCAUAAAAGGUGGUGUAUGACAGACAGUUUAUUCGUCAUCUAUGUCACUGUCAUUAAUUUAUGACAGAAUAUUUUCCGUCAUGAAUUCUUGAUGUUAUUUUACAAUCAUAUAUCCAUCACACAAUAUUUUAAUGAGAAAAAAUAAUUAAAUAAAAUUUGAAUUUAUUAAAAUUUUUGCUCUAUUUUUUAAUUUUUUGGCGGAAAAUUAAAUUGUCAUUUGUAAAUUUCUUAUUCAAUUUUGGUGGAAAAUUUUUUUAUGACAGACUUUAUGAUGUGUAUUUCCCAUCAUAAAGUUAAUUUUUUUAAAUUAUAUUGUGAUUAUAGUUUAUUUCUGAAUUCCUGUUUACAAAUUUAAUUAAUUAAUAAAAAAUGAAUAUUGUCAAAAAAUAAAAAAAUAAUAGUAACUAAAAUCCAUUCAAUCCAACAAAUUAAUUUCAAAAUAAAUACAUCUAAUAUUCAAUGUCAUUACCACUAAUACAUAAUAAAACAUCCCAAAUUAAAAAAAAGAAUGUCAAAAUAUAAAACAAUAGUUAAAUUCCAAUUAAAUUCCAAGAAAUGUAAUUCAAAUUCCGGACACCGAGCCAAGCUCCCCAGCAAAACUUCCAAAGAUUAAUGGAAAUAUUCCAAUAGCAAGACUUCCAGAAGCAAUACCCUCUUCCAGUGGCAAUACAUUGACUAAUCUUUGAAGCCAUGACUCCUCAAGCCAAUGCCAAAAAUGUGUGCAAAAUUAAUGCUCUAUCCACAAAAAUUUCAGUCUAUAUUGGUAAGAAGAAACAUGAAGAAACAAUUACCUCAGCAUCAUCGUCAUUGGAAGCCAAAUCAGCUGUAAAGACCACAAAAUGUUUGGUUAGAACUAGUGGAAGUCUUACUCUAAAACUUUUAAUUUUUGAAUUUCGAAAGAUCUAGUAAUGACAAAGAUUCUCAUAUCCAGUGACCAAGUUUUGAAAAUUAGAAUACGGAAUAACGUCAACUAAAUUCACUAAUAUAGGGUGCAUUUGAGAUUGAGGUUGGACAGCUGUAGCUUAAAAGCUACAGUAGUAAAGUGUUUGGUAAACACUAGUUGCUGUAAUUUAAAAACUAUGUUGAUAUGAUUUUUCACUUGUAUAAUGGAGAAUCUAUUUUUUUAAAUAAUUAUGUCAAAAUUAUUAUUUAAAAUUUAUAUUUACUACAUAUUAUUAAUUUUUGUUUCAUAGUCACAGUUUUUUUUCCACAGCAGUUGUAAAGCUACAUCACCUCAAUCCCAAACGCACCCUAAGCUAGAGGAAUCCCUAGUUGAUAUAGCACACAUGCACACAUGAUAUGCAUGCAUCAGAAUACACAAUAAUAAAUUAUCUCAAAGUCAAUAAGAAGCCAAAACUAGAGAUAAACCUUUAGCCACUAUAAGGAAGACUGAUAUUUGCAGUGUGAUUACAAUAAACAAACAGAAACUUCACUACCCAUAAGUAAAGCAAAAUAAAUAAAGGAUAAUAACUAACCAAGAAAUGGAAAAGCUCACAUUCUCUGAACACGCACCCCAAAAAGAAAGAAAGAAAUAAAUGUUCCCAUUGGAUCUGAAGCACAAGCAAUCCACUGACAUCCUUCUAUAAUUAGGUAAUUUAAAGGGGUUAAGCUCACAUCUUUUACGGAAGCAACAAGAGAAUUAACAACAUUCCAGAGGAUUUAGGGAAAAACCACGAGGCAAGAAAAAAGAAAGAUCCUUCUUCAAUCUAGAUAUCUUGACACUGCUCACCAUCUACAGCAGUCUGGGGCUUAAAAAGCAUGAUCUCUCCCCCCCUCUGGCACCAUUUUCUCUCAUGUGAAUCUGUCAUUGCCCGUAGAAACAAACCAGAACUGCAUAAAUUCUCUUAUCUUCCAGCAGCUUCUUUUCUCCAGAAAUAGGCACAACUAUUUGACAUGGAAACAAUUUAUCUAACAUGGCCACCUUUAAAGACAAAGACAUACUAAGGACAUGGUUUUAGAUACGGAUACAAGAAACAAUCACAAAAUGUAAAAUCUAUACAUAUGAUAUUAAUUUCCAAUGGAUACAGCACUUCAUUCUUUGACUUAACUUCAUUAGAUUACUAGGUUUGAUUAGGUUAUACACACAUUUAUUCAUUUAUGGUUUUCAACCUAUAAUCUACAUGCACUUAGAAUGAGAGGUACCUAUAAAAACAAGUUACCAGAAAACAAUACAGCUAGAAAACAUUAAAACAUUAAUCUAAGCAGUUCUAUAGGUUUAACUAACUGCAGGAAAAAACCGUUGAUUUUGUCCGUCGGAUUAUUGAGAUCCUAAUUCUGGUAAAAAGAAAAUGAGAUAAUAGAAAAUCAAAAAUUAAAUAGACACAAAAUGAGAAAUCAAGAUCAUACGGCAACUAAUAUAUAGCAUGGGCUGCAGCUAACAAGCAAUAUAAGCCAUGAUAUUAUGCCAGAUACAAAAUUUUGAGAUCCAAGAGAGAUCAAGAAGCAUGAAUAUUGAAAGAAGUGAGUGCAGAAGGAUAAGAAAUCAGGUUGAUAUUCUUCAUACUUUGGGUCAACACGUAGUGAUGCAAUAAACUUGUAAUUAGCUUCAAGUGUAUAGGCUACCAUGUCAACAUUUCCGAAAACACACAAGAUUGUGCUGGAUUCAUAUAUAGUACAUAUAUAAAAAAACAAUCUGCUUCUAAACUUCAUGAGAACAUCGAAUAAUGAACUUACAAUUUGAUCCCUCAUCAUCUUCAUCGCACCAUUUGUUCCAAUCAACCUUAAUGUAAGGUGCUGGUUUCUCUUCUGACUUGAGUAGCCUUUUCCACCAACCUUUCUCUUCUUUUUGCACCGAGCAUAUUAUGUUCCUUAAGCCAACUUUAGUCUUACAUUUCUGCACCACCAGCAACAAAAUUCAAAGCAUUACAAAAGAGGUAUAUUUAGCCGCUCUUGACUCGAGUGAGAGAACAGGAUAAACAGCCUAGGUAUAUCCACAUCCAUGUUAUGAGAUUAAUUAUGCAACAACUAACUUUAAUAUAAAGUUUGUGCUCCAACAAAGACUAAAAUGUUUGUAAUUGUUAUGCUUCCGGAGCUAAAAUGUUUCGCAAACACUCACUUUUACUCUGCAGCUAAUAUCUAGCACCCAGCCACACAAAGUCCGUAGUCUUUGUCUCAACUUUGUCUGAGGCCAAUGUAAAUCCAAUUUGCACAAGCUCUCUAUGCACCACAGCUCUUCUGGAAGCUUUCUCAAGUACGCACAAGGGUUGACAAUUAAGCUUUCAAGUUUUGGUAUUGCUCCAGCCCCCAUCGUCCACUCAUCUAGCCAAUACAUUGAUUUCAGGCGCAAAACCUUAAGUUCCGGAAAGCCACCCGAGCAAGCACAGGCCAGCUUUCUUCCUAAAUACAAGCUCUGCUUCAGUUUCAGCACUUGAAGGCGUGGAAGCUUUUUGAUAAGGAAAGGGAGCCACGGAGGUCAACAAAGGUUCAUAAGCCUAACUACAGAUACGAGGGCUUUGUUUGAACAUUCGUAAGUCUCAUGCAGCCAUGCAUGCGGUCAUGCAUGUUGCAUGCAAUACCAUGCAAGACUUAUUUACGCAUGGAUUAAAGAGUAGUCUGUUUCUAGUUUUUUAUUUAAGAUUGCUCAGUUAUUUAAAUUGAUUUUAGCCGUGAAUUGUGGCUACAAAUCCUUAGUAGUGUUUGUAUUAACUACUAUAAAUAAGCUCCAGCAAUUAAUAAAAGGAUUAUGCAAAAAAUUAUCUCAAAGUACUAUUCUUGGUCGUUUUCACCGUAAGUAGAACAACGUAAACUUAGCUAUUGUUGAACGUUUUUGAUUGGGACCUAUCACUUUUCCAGCCUUGGCAUGGGAUCCUCCAUUAGCUCAGUAUUUGAUAAGCUCAGUUGGGUCAGACUUGGAGGAAAUUGGUAUUCAGACAGGACCGUCCGUGAGAGCUUGCUUUCAUUCACCAGCUUCAAGCAUUCAAGUUUCUCUAGUUCGCAUAGGCUUUUGGAAAUCCCAGAUUGAUAGUAACUCAAAUCUCCAGACACUCUAAGAGUUUGAAGAUUAGGUAGUCUGCCCAAUAUAGCUGGAGUGCAACUACUAGGGUGUAAGGCUGAUAUGAAAAUGAGAUUUUUCAGAGAGCUGGAAUAAUUUUUUGGAGGCGCAGGCAGAGUGAUGCAACCGAAGUUUAAAUGCACGAGUUUUCGCAUCAUCCAAAUAUCCUCUGGUGAAUGAUCUAUGUAGCUUGAUGGCAUUUCUAGUGUUUGAAGGUUUAAAAGAGUGCAUAGCAGUGAAGGAAGGCAUUUGAGCGAGGGGAUAUUCAAUUUCAAAUACUUCAAAUGGAAAAAGUUUCUAAUCCGGGCGGAUAUUGGUCGAGAAUUGCAGAACCCAAGUUCAAUACCCCAAGGUGUUUGAACGUUUGACGAAAAUUCUCGCAAUCUAUCAGAGCGAGAUGAUCGCUUUCUGAACUGUGAUUCAGAAAAGAUUGGAGAUAGAUGUCAGGAUGUUCUAAAGAUAAAAACUGAAUCAGAUGUUCCAAAAUGAAGCACCGUUUAACAUUUGCCAGUGGUUCCUUUUCCCUUUCAUGCAUGCAGACAAAUUCCGUCUGCGCUGCCACCAAAAACAAUGGAGUACAUAAAAAACUUGGAACAUAACACGCUUUAAUUGUGCCUCCGGCUCUUCUCUUACUCACUUGAAUGAAGCCGCAAUAGAUUAGUUCUUUCAAAUAAUGCUCGGCAGUUUCUUCACUGUUGUAUGGUAUGAAACCUUCAGCUACCCACAAAUGAUAUAAUUGCCUCGUAGAUAUUUCAAUACUUGGACGAAAGACACACAAAUAGAUGCAGCAGACUUUCAAGUGAAAAGGUAACUCCAUCAAAGAAUAACUGUGUCUCUAAAUUGUCGGAAUCGCUACGCCUUGAACAUAAUUUUCUAAUGGCAUACUUCCAUAGUGUAGGAUGAAAAAUUGCCAGGCUUUAUGCUUUAAUCUGAUCAAUGGUCCUCCACUGAGCACUGAAUCAAACCGAAUCAUCUCUCCGUUUUCCAUGUCCAACAGCGUAAGGGGGCAUGGAUCAGUGACCAAUAUCAAUACUCUGCUUCCAUUCUGAUUGUCAGGAAGAACUUGUUCAAGAUCAUCCAAUACAUCGUCACUCUCUUCACAGUAAUCAUCAAGCACAAUAAAGUACUUCUUGUUUGUUAGGAAAUCUCGAAGAAUAGAUUUCUUCAAUUGAUAAUGUUCACCGAUAAUUACACUAACCCGAGAUGGAGGCAUCACAGACUUGAUUAUGUCAUCCAAUAUCUUGCCAAAAUCGUAGAGUACAGAAAUCCUGACCCAAGCAAGGCAGUCAGAGAAUUGCAACCACUGCAAGCCGAGGAUGUCCUUCAAUCAAUAAAUCAAACAACUCCUCUCUACCACUUUCAAAUUCGUUGAUAUCAAGCCGAGGUUUUCCCUCAAUCAAUAAGUGAAUGAGUUUGUCCCUUUGUUCAGUGAUUACGAAACCAUUGUCGCCGGGUGGAAGUUGUUGCAUCCGAUUUCUAAUAUCAAUAAUUUUACUGUGGAGUCCAACAAGAAGAGCCAUAUUAGUACUGCUUUCACUUUCUUCUUCACUGUUUUGCUGCUGCAUGAUGUUGAUGAAGAAUGUGUCAAUGGCUUCCUCAGAUUCAUGGACAAAGUCAUUGAUGUCCUUCACAAUUUCCAGAAUGUCUGAUCUUUUAACGUCUUCAUCGCUUUCUUGUAAAAAAGCCAAAUAUAUUUCGGAUUCAUCGAAUUCUCCUCUAAUGAGUUGAAACAAAAGCCGAGCCAUGUCAGCUUCAUAGUUUCCCACCAGAGUAGUAGCAAUGAUUUCUGACUCCGUAAGAAGGUUCUGAAAAAGUGGAGUCAAAUUUGUUCAAUCAGGCAACGUUAACGCGCCUUCUUCACCUGCUAGCACCCUUUUCAACCUCUCACAAAAUAGUCGGAGGUUCACGUCCACCAUAUCUCCUUCCCUCCGUAGCACUCAGAGAAGAUUGGUCCUAUCUCAAAGUGGUUAGUGCUGUAAAAUUAAACACCAUGGAAGAAUUUGAAAGGAAUAUGCCAAGAAACUGGCCAAGUGGCUAAAUUCCACAAAUAUGACAUUAUUGCUCAUUUUCUCUCAGACACGUGAUACACGUUGAUUUAGAGGAAAGUUCAAGAAUUUUGCUUUAAAAAAAAAAAUUGAUGGUGCUUAAAUUAUUAUUUUUUUAAUUUAAAGAGUUUUGCUUUUAAAAAAAAAUUAAUAUCAAAAUGCCUUCAAUGUUAUUACUGCCACAAGCCCAGUAACAAAACUCAUUAAAAAUUUUAGAAUUUCUGGCCAUGGAAAGAGUAGUAUUAAACAUCAGAAAGCAAAGGUUGUUCCGUUAAAGAAUUGAUGUUGACAUAAUUUUAUUUUGGUUUUCGGGAAAAAAAAAAUAUUUGUUGGCAAGCAAAGAAAAUAAUUUUAUACUUUACAAUCUGCUAUACAUAUUUUAUCAUAUUAAAGUAAUUUUAAUAUCUAUCAAAAAAAUAAAUUUAAUAAUAAUUGGAACAUAAUAUUACAAUAAAUAAAUUAAAAUUAUUUUAAAUAUUAGGAAAAAAAUAUUAUUAAUAGGAAGAUAUUUUGUUAAUUGUAAAAUCCUUUUAUUCCAAAUAUUUUAUUUAAAUUUUUUAUAAUAAAUAAAAAUAUAAAAUUAAAAUAAAUAUCAUAAUUUAAAUUUUUUAUAUUAAAAAUAUUUUAAUGUUAUUAGUCUACUACAUAAAUUAUAUUAUUUAUAUUAUAUUCGUAUUGAUUAAAAUCUUUUAAAGUUAAUUUUAUAGUUACUAUAUCCACAGGGUAUUAUAUUAUAUUUAAGAGUAAUUUUUUCAAAUUUUAGGAUUGCAGAUGUCCUUCUUCCGAUAAUUUAUUUCACUUUUGAGAGAAUCCAAUGAGAAAUAUGAUAAGAGAUGGUCAGUUUAAUGUUCUCUGCCUUUAUGGAAAAAAAGUAAAAAGUAAAAACUAUUCAAUUUUGUACUUUUUGUGUCCACCAAAUAAAUUUUACACAUUUAUGUUGUCAUAAAACGAAAAAAAAGGGUUUGCCAAAAAAUGGUACCAAGCAUACCUUUAAUGUCCCACGUGAUUUCUUAUUAAGCCCAUAUUAUAUAUAUUUAUACAUUUUAUUGCAUUAAACAUUUUUAUUAUAAAAGAAGUUGGUCCUUCCCCUAGUGAUAAAAGAUAAAUAUGAUAAUGUUUGAGAUGGGUUUAGUCUUUUAUAUUUGCUGAGUCCAGUGGGUUAAAGAAUUAGAGUAAAGCAUCUGGGCAUUCUUUCAUGCAAAACUAAAAAUCCUGAAAAUAGUUGGCUUUAACUGAUUAAGACAAGCUUGGUCGAAUUGAGUUGAACUUCAUAUAUAAAAGCCAAAUAUAUUGCGGAUUCAUCGAAUUCUUCUCUAAUGAGUUGAAACAAAAGCCGAGCCAUGUCAGCUUCAUAGUUUCCCACCAGAGUAGUAGCAAUGAUUUCUGACUCCGUAAGAAGGUUUUGAAAAAGUGGAGUCAAAUUUGUUAAAUCAGGCAACGUUAACGCGCCUUCUUCACCUGCUAACACCCUUUUCAACCUCUCACAAAAUAGUCGGAGGUUCACGUCCAGCAUAUCUCCUUCUCUCCGAGAAACUGUGUAAGUGGCUAAAUUCCAGAAAUAUGACAUUAUUGCUAUUUUUUUAACUCAAAAAAAUGGUACGCGUUCAUUUAGAGAAAAGUUCAAGACGCGCGCCUUUUGAAAAAUGGUACCCGUUCAUGUAGAGAAAAGAACAGGUAUCCCAAUCGGUAUCCAACCUUUAUCUUCUUUAAUUACCACCACGACAUGAUUUUUUUUUUUUUUUUUUGAUGACAUGAGACUAUUGCUUAAAUUACAACUCAAAUUACAACUCAUAUUACAUGAGAGUAUAAUUGAUAUGUACAAUCAUAUAUACAUACUGAGAUCUAUUGACAUUAAUGCUGAUAUGACACUGCUCAGAUUUUUGUAACCCUCUCAAAUAUUCGAGGGACGUCAAACUCCUAUCCUGGGAGAAAGACUGCCUUCACUCGAGCUCUGUGGCUCCAAGGAAGGAAAUAUAAAUUAAACCUCUACAAUGCGACUGCGGAGGCUCGAACCCCUUCCCUCACAUAUGUGAGGGAGUGGCUCUAGCCACUUGGGCUAGCCCAAGUGGUUCCACGACAUGAUUGAUGGUGCUUAAAUCAAUUGUUUCUUUUUUAAUUUAAAGAAAUUUUCAUUAAAAAAAUAUUUUAAUAUCAAAUACCCUUCAAUGGCAUAACUGCCGCAAUCCCAGAAACAGGAUUAAAUAUUUUUUUUUUUUUGAAUUUUUGGGCAUGGAAAGAGCAGUAUUAAAAAUCAGAAAGCUAAGGUCGUUCUGUUAAAGAAUUGAUAUUGACAUAAUUUUUUUUUGGUUUUCGGGGGAAAAAAAAAAUUGUUGACAAGCAAGAAAAUAUUUUUAUAUUUUACAAUUUAUUAUACAUAUUUUUUUUUUUUGGAUCAAUAAUGGGCUCUAAAAGAGCUAAAGCACCAGUAAACGGGAGUGGGCAACCCCAGACACAUCGUUAUGAAGAAUACUCUGUAAAUUAGGAGGAGCAACAGUAAGUAACUGCAAUCCUAAAGGACAAGACAAAUUAAAUGAGGCCAGAAAAUCUGCUGCUAUGUUUGCUUCUCGAUAGAUGUGGUUCACUUUCACGACCCAGUCCCUGCUGAUCAGCUCACGAAUGGCAAGGAUAAGAGAAUGAUGCUCAUUAACAGGAGUGGUCGGAUUCUCCAAGAUUUGAGAUUUAUUAUACAUAUUUUAUCUUAUUAAAGUAAUUUUAAUAAUAAAUAGAAACAUAAUAUUACCAUAAAUAAAUUAAAGUUUAACUUAUUUUGAAUAUUAUAAAAAAUAAUUUUAAUAUUAUUAAUAGGAGGACAUUGUAUUAAUUUUAAAAUUUUUUAACCCAAAGGUUUAUUUAAAAUCUUUAUUAUAAAUACAAAUAUAAAAUUAAAUAUAAUAAUUUAAAAUUUUUAAUAUUAUUUUAAAUAUUAAAAAUAUUUUAAUGUUAUUAGUCUACUACAUAGAUCAUAUUACUUAUAUAAUAUUUGUAUUAUUAAAAAUUCUUAAAAUCAAAUUUUUAGUUAGUAUAUUUAUGAGGUAUUAUGGUUAAAAAAAAAACCUUAUUAUUACUUUUUAAAACAUUGAGGGCCUGCGUGAUAAUUUUUUCAAAAAGAAAAUGCUUGGUAUCUAGGAGGGUUAGAGAAACAGGACUACCAAAAUCUCUCACCCUUUUUUAAUUAAAAAAAAUUAAAAUAUCAAUAAAAAAAAUAAAGAAAAUAGAAUUUUAUCUGCUCCUUACUCCAUUUUUGUAACUCUCUCACCAUCUCUGUCGAGCAGCCCUCUCUUUCACUGUCUCUCACUAUUUCACAAUCUCUCUCUCACUCACACAGUCCUUUAGAAAAGCCCAAAAUAGGCCCAAUAAGCCCAUAAUUAAAAUAAUCGAAUCGAAUUAUUUCAAUUAAUCGAGUAUUUGAUUAUUUCGGUAAUUUGAUUAAUCGCGAUUAUGAUUUUAAAAUAAUCGUAAUCGAACGAUUAUGAAAAAUUUAGUAAAAAACCGAAUUGAACCGAACCGCACCCACCCCUACAUAAAAGAACAACAAUUACUUGUCAUUUUCAAUUUUUUCUAUAAGCUAUUUAUUUUGAGCAUUAGUGAUCUUGUCUGGACUACUCCAAUUAUUGACGUAACUCCAGUGGCUGCAUCCACUGGAAAAAGUGGAUGAGAACAUUUUUUUUUUUCAUAAAGGUAACUACUCCAAUUAUUGACAUAAUUGAUGGUGCUUAAAUCAAUUUUUUUUUUUAAUUUAAAGAAUUUUGCUUUAAAAAAUAAUUAAUAUCAAAAUGCCUUCAAUGUUGUUACCGCCACAAGCCCAGUUAGAGGACUCAUUAAAAAUUUUAGAAUUUUUAGGCCUGGAAAGCGUAGUAUUAAACAUCAGAAAGCAAAGGUUGUUAUGUCGAAGAAUUGAUGUCGACAAAAUUUUAUUUUAGUUUUCGGAAAAAAAAAAAAAUUUGUUGACAAGCAAGAAAAUAUUUUUUAUACUUUACAAUCUGCUAUACAUAUUUUAUCAUAUUAAAGUAAUUUUAAUAAUAUAUGGAAACAUAAUAUUAUAAUAAAUAAAUUAAAAUUACUUUGAAUUAUUGAAUAUUACAAAAAGAUAAUUUUAAUAUUAUUAAUAGGAAAACAUUUUUAAUUGUAAAAUCUUUUUAAUACAAAAAUUCAUUUAAAAUCUUUAUAAUAAAUACAAAUAUAAAAUUAAAAAAAUAUCAUAAUUUAAAUUUUUUAAAAUUAUUUAAAUAUUAAAAAUACUUUAAUAUUAUUAGUCUACUACAUAAAAUAUAUUAUUUAUAUUAUAUUCGUAUUGAUUAAAACGUUUUAAAGUCAAAUUUUUAAUUAGUGUAUUCAAAGAUACAAAAGAUUUUAGUAUUAUUUUUAAAAAAUUUCAGGAUAUGAAUGAUAAUUUUUUCAAAUUUUAAAGAUGUAAGAAUCUUUUUUUCUGAUAAUUUAUUUCACUUUUGAGAGAAUCCGAAAACGUUAAUUUAACAUUCUUUACCUUUGUGAAAAAAGUGAAAAUCAAGAACUAUUCAAUUUUGUUUUUAUUUGUAAUUCAAAAACUUUAUUCAUUUUCGAUGCUUUUCAAAAGAGACUCCUCUAAAUCCUUUUGGUGUCUGCAGCUCCUGCAAUUCUCAUAAAUCUCCAUCCCACAUCUACACUAUCAAACAAGUUGAUGGAAAUUCUUAUCAAAAAAAAAAAAAAAAACAAGUCGAUGGAAAUUGAUCAAUUACUUUUUGAAGUGGACCCAUUGAGUCAUGUUCAUUUCUGGUCAUUGUCUACUCUUUCCAUCAGCCAUUUAUUUUGACCAUUUGCGAUCUUAAAGGAUAUGAGAACGUAGCUGAAGUGCUGAAGGGGCUAUUAAAGAAGAGUGUCACUUGAUCACAAUCACAUUGAUGCACAACUCACUCGUGGCAAAUUUCGACUAUACGUUCUGCAAAUUCAGCCAAACCAUACAUGCAUGAACAAAACUAAAAUGUAGUUCUAAUCACAACUGCAGUUAUAAUGUUUACCCCUCUGAUUUUUCUCCAAAACAAAUUCAGUUCAAAACAAUAAUUAAAUAGCCACAUUUUGUUCGUCAAAAUAAAUGCCCAAAUUUUCAAUUAACAAAUCAUCUUCUCUAAACUAAAAAUCCCACAUCUCUAAAAUCAAUCUACAUAAUGUUGGAGAUGAGGGGUGAAUUGUUAACUCAGUAAAAAAAACUCAUGCAUAAUAUUACUAAUAAUAUAAAAUAUAUAUUAAUCAUUAUAAAGAAUCAUAAUUAGAAAAAUUAAUCAUUUUAUAAUUUAUUACACAAGUAAGAUAAAUCUCAUAAUAAGUUAUAACAUAAAAAAAACGUUAUCAAUAUAUAAUCAUUUAAGAAGUCAUUUAACAAUAAAAUCGUUCUUUAAUCAGUUGGUCAUGUCACAUAGUGUCAUCUAUAUUUACGGUGAUAAUAUUAUUACUCAGUAUUAUCAAAAAACAUGAUUUAACAUUUAGAGGAAAUUCUUGCCUUUUAAAAAAAACAUGUAUGCAACAACUACCCAUGCUUUAUCUUACCAUGACAAAUAUUUUCUCAAUGAAAGAAAAUUUUUUAAAAAUUGAUUUAAUGCACAAAUAUGAUGAUUUUUCCAAAAAUUAGUUUUGGAAAACAUAGUGAGAGAAAAUAGUGACGAUUAUUGUUUAGAUGUAUAAAUAGCCUAAACAUAAUCCUUAAUACCAAUAUCCUAAUGCAUCUUAUCAUCUUUCAUGAUAUUCUUUCAUUUAUGUCCAUUGGUUCAAGAUUUGAAUUUGAUCAUUAAAUCAUGUUCAAUAAUAUUAGAGAUUCUAACAAAUGAGUACCAACUUAAAUCCCAAUGUUAUGUGUCAUUGACCAAUUUUGUGUCAUUUUGUUAUUAACUAGGUGAUGAAUUUGUAGUUGAUAAAAUCACUUAAAAAUAUCUUAAAAAUCAAACAAUAGUUUGCUUAAUUUUUCCAAGUUAACUGCUCAAGAUGCUCUAUUAUAAAUAAUAACCUAAUUAUAUUCAUAAAAAAUGAUAUUUUUUUUGUGGUGUUGAUAAUGAGAUUAUCAUUCAACAUUUUAAAAUGUGAAAACAUAUGGAAGAUGGUUGUAAAUUGAUUGAAUGAAAACAUUUCAGUGAAGUCUCAAAAAUUUGGUACUUGUUGUCUUAUCGAAAGUUUUCUAAAUUAUAUUCGUGGCACAGCCACUAUCCAAACCAUACAAGUCCAAAGCUAUCCAAACCAUACCUGCAAGUCCGGGGCUUAAAUGGAGUACUUCUAAGCAAAAAAACAUUGACUAAAAUAGAAUAUAUACAUACAGACACACAUACAUACCAGCAUAUUCAAAAUAGCAAAAGGAGUGCAAAAGUUCAAGUUUGUAGACAACAUUGCAACCAUAGCAUGUUUAUAGCAAAUCCUCAAAAUCUGCUAAAUAAAACAAUGCCCUGUCUCAUGAAUCAAUGCUGAAUUAAAAUUGAAACUGAAAGUCUGGAUGGUUUUGUUUGUUGAGAAUGUCAAAUAAAACGGCAUUGAAGGAAGUUUUCAAAGGCAGAAUCCGCACUUGUCAAAGGGAUGAUCUGCACUUGUCAAAGACACUAUCCGCGCCGAACGGAUCGACACAUUUCCUUCCGUAUUCACAUAUGUAAUCUUUGAAAAAAUAUAGCUUCUGCAUCUAUAAAUAACGCUCAGUGUAUAAUGUUUUAUUCAAGAAAUAAAAACAAGUUUCUACAUGGUAUCAGAGCCAUGAAUGCGCUCAAGUUUCUUCAAGUUUCGCUGCUCUGUUUGUCACAAAAACAGAGGAAACCAAUUAAAUUCGUCCCACAACCAUUUUUUCCACCAUUUUCUUCCUUAAAAUCAUUCCUAACAUUACAGAAAUCCAUGCCGAUCAAAAAACAUGAAAGACAAAUUACACAUGUGCAGUAACCAAUGAUCAUAUUUCGUUACUGUCAAACACAAUGCAUCUGAGCAAAACAUUGGAAGCCAACACCAGAAUACAUAUGAAUAAACAAUUAAAGAUAGAGAAAAAAGGCUUAAACCUUGGGGGGAAAAAGUGAAAAAACAUGAAAGACAAAUUACACAUGUGCAGUAGCCAUCGAACUUAUCAGUGACAGCUGCAUCCAUUACAUUGCUCCAACAACACAAUGGCAAACCACCAGUUUCAAAUUGAGGAUAGCUAUCGAGAAUGAGAAAGUGUCCAAAACGUCAUAAAUAGACAUGUUCCGAUUGUGCAUAAUUUACAUUAUAGGCAAAUAUUCUUAUACCAUCAAAGGCAAAACAUGACACUAACAAUUGAUCACCC
Molecule: long non-coding RNA, 39141 nt
Filed under: Citrus maxima (pomelo)
Lineage: Eukaryota; Viridiplantae; Streptophyta; Magnoliopsida; Sapindales; Rutaceae
Description: long non-coding RNA (CMAX_LNC001229)
Source: RNAcentral